This 421-nucleotide unclassified non-coding RNA is filed under the name soil metagenome. RNAcentral describes it as "partial contains 5.8S ribosomal RNA, internal transcribed spacer 2, and large subunit ribosomal RNA". The stretch from base 1 to 120 matches the Rfam family "5.8S ribosomal RNA", at positions 35 to 154 of the family's 154-position model. The record is from RNAcentral.
GAUGAAGAACGUAGUGAAAUGCGAUAAGUAAUGUGAAUUGCAGAAUUCAGUGAAUCAUCGAAUCUUUGAACGCACCUUGCGCUCCCUGGUAUUCCGGGGAGCACGCCUGUUCGAGUGUCGCGAAAUUCUUCAAGCCUUGGAUGGAUUUUUUUUGUCUGUCCUUGGGCUUGGUUGUUGGGCUCUGCCGUGUCCUUCAUUGGGACGGCUGGCCUUAAAAGCAUUAGCCGAUCCUCGUGUGGUACUGGUUCUACUCAGCGUGAUAACAAUCUGAUCGUUGAGGACAUCUUCUGGAUGGCCAGUCAUCAUUUGGGUUGCUUCUAAACCGGUUUCGCAGAUUGCUCAAUCUGUGUGCCACUUUUCAGCUUUGACCUCGAAUCAGGUGGGACUACCCGCUGAACUUAAGCAUAUCAAUAAGCGGAGA